This 937-nucleotide long non-coding RNA is filed under the name Olea europaea subsp. europaea. Lineage: Eukaryota; Viridiplantae; Streptophyta; Magnoliopsida; Lamiales; Oleaceae. The record is from RNAcentral.
GAAACAAUAUGAGUAGCCGAAAAUUGGGAUUUCUCUCCAGAAGUUGCUUGAAGAACGCCGAAAUGCAAUGAUUUCGAGAGAAAAUGGGGUUUUUGAUUUCGUCAAAGUGAAAAGCUCCAAAAUUCCUCAAUUCUGCCUUUUAUAGAGCGUCCCAGCUGAUCUACACUGUUGAAUUCAAAUGCAAUCAAUCUAGGCCGUCCGUCGCAUCGUCAAUCUAGGCCAUUGAAAUGAAACACCGGAUUUCAUAUACACCUAAGAUCUACCUGUAACCUUCACGCUUUUACGAAACGCGUUGCCUCGAUCACCAUCAGCCGUCUGCAAUAAGUAGCCGCAGCAGCCUUUUCUGGGAAUGGGCAUCGUGCCCAACUAUCGCCUUGGAAAAACGGGACAGCUGUCUAAUCAUUUAAAGUCAAAGAUGCCCGUCUCAGAUCAAGCUCUUCACACAGCUUUACAAAGUUUAGACGCAUCUGAUGUAGAGCCCUCCUGUGGGUCAUCACCUCGGAAACUGUGUUCUCUCCUAAACUUUACAAAGCUUUAACCAUCUCCCAACACGUUGUCCCCUAUGGGUCAACGCACUGGUGGCAGAUGAGCUCUUUACAUAGCUUUACAAAGCUUAGACGCAUCUGAUGUGGAGCCCCUCUUGUGGAUCAUCGUUUCGAAAGCUGUGUUCCCUCCUAAGCUUUAGCCAUCUCCCCACGCAUCGUCCCCUGUGGGUUAACGCAUCGAUGGCAGAUGAGCUCUUCACACAGCUUUACAAAACUUAGACGCAUCUGACUUGGAGCCCCCCUGUGGGUCAUCACCUCAAAAGUUGCGUUUCCUCCUAAGCUUUACAAAGCGUUAGCCAUUUCCCAACGCGUCGUCCCCUAUGGGUCAACGCGCCGGUGGCAGAUGAGCUCUUCACACAGCUUUACAAAGCUUAGACACAUCUGAUGCGGAG